CGUCUUCCAAGAGGUGUUUGAUCAUUCCUUGGCCUUUGAAAUAUAUUUUCACAAAUCUACUCCAUUGCAUGUAGUUUUUCUCGUCCAGUCUCCGAUCUGGAGGAAGAAGAGCUUGGGCUGGAAAAAGCUUGGAUUCAUCUGCCAUAGCUUGAAUAUAAUAAGCUCAGACGCAGGCGACCGGACUGACCUUCAGUUGGCGUCUUCUGGGCACAGAACGGGGCGGCGGACCGGCGCCGGAGACGGCGGCACGCAGGAGAGCUCCUCGC
This 266-nucleotide long non-coding RNA is filed under the name Spirodela polyrhiza (greater duckweed). RNAcentral describes it as "long non-coding RNA (SPOL_LNC001959)". Lineage: Eukaryota; Viridiplantae; Streptophyta; Magnoliopsida; Alismatales; Araceae. The record is from RNAcentral.